CCCUUAGAUGUUCUGGGCCGCACGCGCGCUACACUGAGUGUCUGAGAUACGAGUCUGCCUGGUCCGGCAAGGUCUAGGUAAUCGCUAAAAGACACAUCAUGCUUGGGAUAGAUUAUUGCAAAUAUUAAUCUUGAACGAGGAAUUCCUAGUAAGCGCAAGUCAACAGCUUGCGUUGAUUACGUCCCUGCCCUUUGUACACACCGCCCGUCGCUACUACUGAUUGGAUGUUUAAGCGAGGUUCUCGAACUGCUAGCGACUUAGCUUCGGUGAGGUCGCAGUGUGGGAAGUGAACCUAGCUUUGGUGUCCAGAGGAAGUAAAAGUCGUAACA
This 329-nucleotide ribosomal RNA is filed under the name uncultured eukaryote. RNAcentral describes it as "partial 18S ribosomal RNA". It matches the Rfam family "Eukaryotic small subunit ribosomal RNA", at positions 1470 to 1796 of the family's 1831-position model. The record is from RNAcentral.